GACGAACGCUGGCGGCGUGCUUAACUCAUGCAAGUCGAACGGUGAAGCUCCAGCUUGCUGGAGUGGAUCAGUGGCGAACGGGUGAGUAACACGUGAGCAACCUGCCCCUGACUCUGGAAUAAGCGCUGGAAACGGCGUCUAAUACUGGAUACGAGAAGGGUCCGCAUGGGCACUUUCUGGAAAGUUUUUCGGUUGGGGAUGGGCUCGCGGCCUAUCAGCUUGUUGGUGAGGUAAUGGCUCACCAAGGCGACGACGGGUAGCCGGCCUGAGAGGGCGACCGGCCACACUGGGACUGAGACACGGCCCAGACUCCUACGGGAGGCAGCAGUGGGGAAUAUUGCACAAUGGGCGAAAGCCUGAUGCAGCGACGCCGCGUGAGGGAUGACGGCCUUCGGGUUGUAAACCUCUUUCAGCAGGGAAGAAGCGAAAGUGACGGUACCUGCAGAAGAAGCACCGGCUAACUACGUG
Molecule: ribosomal RNA, 468 nt
Filed under: uncultured bacterium
Lineage: Bacteria
Description: partial 16S ribosomal RNA
Rfam family: Bacterial small subunit ribosomal RNA
Source: RNAcentral